CCUACGGGAGGCAGCAGUGGGGAAUAUUGCACAAUGGGGGAAACCCUGAUGCAGCGACGCCGCGUGAGUGAAGAAGUAUUUCGGUAUGUAAAGCUCUAUCAACAGGGAAGAAAACAGACGGUACCUGACUAAGAAGCCCCGGCUAACUACGUGCCAGCAGCCGCGGUAAUACGGAGGGGGCCAGCGUUAUCCGGCUUUCCUGGGUGUCAAGGGAGCGUAGACGGGAUGGCAAGUCUGAAGCGAAAGCCCAGGGCUUAACCCUGGGACUGCUUUUGAACCUGGUAGACUAGAGUGCUGGCGAGUUAAGUGGAAUUACUGGUGUAGCGGUGAAAUGCGUAGAUAUUAGGAGGAACACCAGUGGCGAAGGCGGCUUACUGGACAGUAACUGACGUUGAGGCUCGAAAGCGUGGGGAGCAAACAGGAUUAGAUACCCCAGUAGUC
This 441-nucleotide ribosomal RNA is filed under the name uncultured bacterium. RNAcentral's name for it is "partial 16S ribosomal RNA". It matches the Rfam family "Bacterial small subunit ribosomal RNA", at positions 338 to 795 of the family's 1533-position model. The record is from RNAcentral.